CCCCACNUGAANGNAAUGACGGCCUUNCGNNUUGUAAACCUCUUUCGGUAGGGACCAANCGACAAGUGNCGGUACCUGCNGAAGAAGCACCGGCCAACUACGUGCCAGCAGCCGCGUUAAUACGUAGGGUGCAAGCGUUGUCCGGNUUUAUUGGGCGUAAAGAGCUCGUAGGCGGCGUGUCCCGUNUAAAGUGAAAACCAUGGGCUNAACCCGUGGCUUGCUUUCGGUACGGGCAUGCUUGAGUGUGAUAGGGGAGUCUGGAAUUCCUGGUGUAGCNGUGAAAUGCGCAGAUAUCAGGAGGAACACCGGUGGCGAANGCNGGACUCUGGGCCAUUACUGACGCUGAAGGAGCGAAAGCGUGGGGCAGCGAACAGGAUUAGAUACCCUGGNAGGUCCAAGGGCG
Molecule: ribosomal RNA, 403 nt
Filed under: uncultured bacterium
Lineage: Bacteria
Description: partial 16S ribosomal RNA
Rfam family: Bacterial small subunit ribosomal RNA
Source: RNAcentral